GAUGAACGCUGGCGGCGUGCCUAAUACAUGCAAGUCGAGCGAACGGACGAGAAGCUUGCUUCUCUGAUGUUAGCGGCGGACGGGUGAGUAACACGUGGAUAACCUACCUAUAAGACUGGGAUAACUUCGGGAAACCGUAGCUAAUACCGGAUAAUAUUUUGAACCGCAUGGUUCAAAAGUGAAAGACGGUCUUGCUGUCACUUAUAGAUGGAUCCGCGCUGCAUUAGCUAGUUGGUAAGGUAACGGCUUACCAAGGCAACGAUGCAUAGCCGACCUGAGAGGGUGAUCGGCCACACUGGAACUGAGACACGGUCCAGACUCCUACGGGAGGCAGCAGUAGGGAAUCUUCCGCAAUGGACGAAGGCCUGACGGAGCAACGCCGCGUGAGUGAUGAAGGUCUUCGGAUCGUAAAACUCUGUUAUUAGGGAAGAACAUAUGUGUAAGUAACUGUGCACAUCUUGACGGUACCUAAUCAGAAAGCCACGGCUAACUACGUG
Molecule: ribosomal RNA, 497 nt
Filed under: uncultured bacterium
Lineage: Bacteria
Description: partial 16S ribosomal RNA
Rfam family: Bacterial small subunit ribosomal RNA
Source: RNAcentral